This 225-nucleotide non-coding RNA is filed under the name Anaerostipes sp. RNAcentral's name for it is "T-box sequence". It matches the Rfam family "T-box leader". From Rfam's summary of the family: Uncharged tRNA acts as the effector for transcription antitermination of genes in the T-box leader family. T-boxes are found upstream of many aminoacyl-tRNA synthetase genes and some amino acid biosynthetic genes usually in Gram-positive bacteria. The anticodon of a specific tRNA base pairs to a specifier sequence within the T-box motif, and the NCCA acceptor tail of the tRNA base pairs to a conserved bulge in the T-box antiterminator hairpin. Lineage: Bacteria; Bacillati; Bacillota; Clostridia; Lachnospirales; Lachnospiraceae. The record is from RNAcentral.
UGAAAUGCGCAGAACAGAAAGAGUACCUACACUGGAACUAACAGAGAGAAACUGUCACCGGCUGAAAGCAGUUUUUAGGAAAUGUGUUGGGAAUGCCUCUGGGAGCAGACAGGGCGAAUCGACAGUAGUCCUGUACGUGGCCGGCGUUAACGGAAGGUUAAGGGAAAGCAUCCUCAAGGAUACUUUAAGUAAGAGUGGAACCGCGGAUAUAACUUCGUCUCUUUU